GCGUCGGUGGUGCAAUGGCAAGCACGGCGGUCUCCAAAACCGUUGAUCCGGGUUCGAGUCCCAGCCGGCGUG
RNAcentral lists this transfer RNA (72 nucleotides) under Bifidobacterium adolescentis. Its description in RNAcentral is "tRNA-Trp". It matches the Rfam family "tRNA". Rfam says of the family: Transfer RNA (tRNA) molecules are approximately 80 nucleotides in length. Lineage: Bacteria; Bacillati; Actinomycetota; Actinomycetes; Bifidobacteriales; Bifidobacteriaceae. The record is from RNAcentral.